This 64-nucleotide transfer RNA is filed under the name Myrrophis chinensis (Chinese water snake). RNAcentral's name for it is "tRNA-Val". Lineage: Eukaryota; Metazoa; Chordata; Lepidosauria; Squamata; Homalopsidae. The record is from RNAcentral.
CAAAAAGUAGCUUACACUAAAGCAGUCGACCUACACUCGACCGACAUUUUAAUAAUCUUUUUGA